CCUACGGGAGGCAGCAGUAGGGAAUAUUGCUCAAUGGGGGAAACCCUGAAGCAGCAAAGCCGCGUGGAGGAUGAAGGUUUUCGGAUUGUAAAAUCCUUUUGUUAGAGAAGAUAAUGACGGUAUCUAACGAAUAAGCACCGGCUAACUCCGUGCCAGCAGCCGCGGUAAUACGGAGGGUGCAAGCGUUACUCGGAAUCACUGGGCUUAAAGAGCGCGUAGGCGGGAUAGCAAGUCAGAUGUGAAAUCCUAUGGCUUAACCAUAGAACUGCAUUUGAAACUGUUAUUCUAGAGUAUGGGAGAGGUAGGUGGAAUUCUUGGUGUAGGGGUAAAAUCCUUAGAGAUCACGAGGAAUACGCAUUGCGAAGGCGACCUGCUAGAACAUCACUGACGCUGAUGCGCGAAAGCGUGGGUAUCAAACAGGAUUAGAUACCCGAGUAGUC
RNAcentral lists this ribosomal RNA (440 nucleotides) under uncultured bacterium. RNAcentral describes it as "partial 16S ribosomal RNA". It matches the Rfam family "Bacterial small subunit ribosomal RNA", at positions 338 to 795 of the family's 1533-position model. The record is from RNAcentral.